UGAGGAAUAUUGGGCAAUGCCCGCAAGGGUGACCCAGCAACGCCGCGUGGAGGAUGAAUGUCGUAAGAUUGUAAACUCCUGUUAGAGGGGAAGAAUAGUACCGGUUGGACCGGCAUAUGACUGUACCCUCAGAGAAAGCCCCGGCUAACUACGUGCCAGCAGCCGCGGUAAUACGUAGGAGGCAAGCGUUGUCCGGAUUUACUGGGUGUAAAGGGUGCUCAGGCGGAUUUGUAAGUCAGAGGUGAAAUCUUACAGCUUAACUGUGAAACUGCCUUUGAUACUGCAAGCCUAGAGUAUGGAAGAGAGUGAUGGAAUAUCUGGUGUAGCAGUGAAAUGCGUAGAUAUCAGAUAGAACACCAAUGGCGAAGGCAGUCACUUGGUCCAUUACUGACGCUAAAGCACGAAAGCGUGGGUAGCAAACA
This 422-nucleotide ribosomal RNA is filed under the name uncultured bacterium. RNAcentral's name for it is "bacterial SSU rRNA". It matches the Rfam family "Bacterial small subunit ribosomal RNA", at positions 355 to 774 of the family's 1533-position model. The record is from RNAcentral.